CUUUUUUUAUAUGUUGGGGCAUCUUUUGGGUAUAUGCCCAAGAGAGGUAUAGCUGGAUCCUCAGGCAGUUCAAUGUUCAAUUUUCUGAGUAACCUCCAGACUGAUUUCCAGAAUGGUUGUACCAGUCUGCAAUCCCACCAACAAUGGAGGAGUGUUCCUCUUUCUCCACAUCCUCGCCAGCAUCUGCUGUCACCUGAGUUUUUGAUCUUGACCAUUCUGACUGGUGUGAGGUGAAAUCUCAGGGUUGUUUUGAUUUGCAUUUCCCUUAUGACUUAGGAUGUUGAACAUUUCUUUAGGUGUUUCUCAAGCCAUUCGACAUUCCUCAGCUGUGAAUUCUUUGUUUAGUUCUGAACCCCGUUUUUUAAUAGGGUUAUUUGUCUCCCUGCUGUCUUUGUAUAUUUUGGAUAUAAGGCCUCUAUCUGUUGUAGGAUUGGUAAAGAUCUUUUCCCAAACUGUAGAUGAACUAAUUUAUGUGGAAGAAAAACCCUGUAGUUAAGCCUUUAGAUGCCUCAACAUCUGGGUUACAGAAAUGAACCCUUACCUCAAUAAAUCAAGAGUUUGUUC
Molecule: long non-coding RNA, 564 nt
Filed under: Rattus norvegicus (Norway rat)
Lineage: Eukaryota; Metazoa; Chordata; Mammalia; Rodentia; Muridae
Description: long non-coding RNA NONRATT011444
Source: RNAcentral